Molecule: ribosomal RNA, 1788 nt
Filed under: Triticum aestivum (bread wheat)
Lineage: Eukaryota; Viridiplantae; Streptophyta; Magnoliopsida; Poales; Poaceae
Description: partial small subunit ribosomal RNA
Source: RNAcentral
UGCAAAUUUUGUAACUAACAGACGUUGUCUUCCUCUCUCAUAUUCAAUGAAAAGCUGCACAGCAGCAUUUUCGUCAAAAAAAUAGUCAGCCCACAAGGCCCCAAGAUUCAUUCAGCCCAUGCCCUCCUUCAAAGGCCAAGGCCCAGAGCAAACAGACGGCAGUUACAGCGUCAGCUCCAACCAAAUUAUCCACAGAGUCCCCCUGAGCUCGCUCGCACGCCGCGGCCGGGUAACACCACCACCGGGCGCCAUGGCCUCCUCCUUCCUCUCCCUACGCCUCCCUACCCCCUCCCCGCCCACCGCGACGUCGUCCCCGUUCUUCCCGAAUCCCCUAGUCCGGUCUGGAAGGUGCAGUCCGCCGUCCUCUACCCUCGUGGCGCGUGUUGCCGGGUCGGCGGCGGGGGCUCCGUCGCCGUUGUUCAACCCGAGGGGCGACCCGUUCCUAUCCACGCUAGCCGCUGCUUCUCCAGAGCAGCUAGCGGCAGCUGCGGGUGGCGAACGCCGCGGCGAGGACCACCUUCCGUUCCUCGAGAUCUUCCAGAACGCCAAGCUCAUGUCCUCGCCCGCGCAGGUGGAACGUUCUAGCAGCUCUUACAGUCAGCACAGUCCUAGAAGGCCUCCUCCGGAUUUGCCAUCGUUGCUUCUACAUGGACGGAUCGUUUAUAUUGGCAUGCCGUUGGUUCCAGCAGUUACCGAGCUUAUUGUUGCCCAGUUGAUGUACCUUGAUUGGAUGAAUAGUAGUGAGCCUGCAUAUAUAUACAUCAACUCAACAGGAACGGCUCGUGAUGAUGGUGAACCAGUUGGAAUGGAGACAGAAGGUUUUGCUAUAUAUGAUGCCAUGAUGCGGAUGAAAACUGAGGUUCACACACUUUGUAUAGGAGCUGCAGCUGGUCAUGCCUGCCUUGUCCUUUCAGCAGGGAAGAAAGGCAAACGCUAUAUGUUUCCCCAUGCCAAAGCUUUGAUUCAGCAACCUCGUAUUCCUUCAUAUGGGAUGAUGCAAGCCUCUGAUGUUGUUAUUCGUGCAAAAGAGGUCGUGCACAACAGGAACACCCUGGUCAAACUUCUAGCAAGGCACACUGGAAAUCCACCGGAGAAAAUAGACAAGGUGAUGAGAGGGCCAUUUUAUAUGGACUCUUUGAAAGCCAAGGAGUUUGGGGUAAUUGACAAGAUCCUUUGGCGCGGUCAGGAGAAGUACAUGUCUGACAUGCUCUCCCCUGAGGAUUGGGACAAGGUUGCUGGAGUCAGAGGCCCCGGUGGAAUGUGAAGUUGUGCACUGGAACUCGAAUACUUGGUUAGGCCUUUGAGCUCGCAGUCGCAGGGGCUGAACGAACAAUCUUGCCUGUCGACAGGUUGUCAGAGCCGAGGGUACCUAUUGUACGGACUAUGGACAAGCUAGAUUAGAACUUGGACGAUCAUGUUAGUGCGUAUGUUCUCGGGAUUGGAGCUAGCGAGUGUUUUGGGUGGAGCUAUUGUUGUUGGUCUGCUCGUUUGCCAGUCCAGGUUUUGGUACUCUGCUCACUGUUGGUGCAUAGUGUACACGGUUUAUGGACCCAAAGGGGUGGAUGAGGAAAACAACCGAGAUGAAAAUGUUAUCAGCACGAACAUGAUGUGUCUUUUCUUAUUUAUUUUUUUACUGCAGGGGAGCACGAACAUGUUGUGGACUGAAACGUUGCCAUCGAGGGCCUCUUUGUUUUGCAGGAUUCUCAAAACGCAGGAAUAGAAAAAUAAAUAUAGGAUUGGAUUGACAUGUCCACUUGAAUCAUAUAGGAUUAACAGAGUGUGUUUGAU